GAAAAAAGAAGAAGGCAAACACAUAAGAAAUACAACAUUAACUGUCAACUAACUAGCCAAUCUCAAUUGAUGAAUUGAGAAAUUCUUAUUUGGACUAUUUUCCGCACACAAAUAUUAUAGAUACACUCAUGGAAGCCUAUGUGAAUCCCAGUUCUUGUUUCCAAUCCAUUGUCUCCAUUGUCCAUGAUAACAUGCACUAGCUCUGCCAAAUCCCAAAGUAGGCCGUCAUGGUCAUGGAAUAGUGAUCCAUUGACCGAAUAAUCUCGUCUGAGCUCUUAUACUGUAUCGCACUGCAUUAGCUUCAUCAACUUCCUUUGUCAAAAUGAUUCUAUCACCGCUCUUAAGAUGCUUUUCACGUACAAACCGAAGCCAAUCUCGCCCAACAAUUUCAGGUCUUCGGUUACGAUCAUUAACAUUGUUGCGAACGGAGAGUCUUAAGUCAUAACGUUGCUGGAUAUUUUCAGUAUAAGUAGCUUGAAACUGAACAGAAU
Molecule: unclassified non-coding RNA, 491 nt
Filed under: Hevea brasiliensis (rubber tree)
Lineage: Eukaryota; Viridiplantae; Streptophyta; Magnoliopsida; Malpighiales; Euphorbiaceae
Source: RNAcentral